CUCAGUUUCAUCUCAACUGCCUUGCAAUGGAGAGAAACUGCAAAUUUGUUCUUGGAACAGCAGCAUGGCAUGAGACCUACGUGUGACAACUCUGAAGAAAAAUAUUUUGGAAGUGCCAUAUAGGAUCGAUCAGGUUAGGAAGGACUCCACAUCAGUUUAGGACAAGGCGGCUUCACCAGAGCCUCUGGAAAGGCCACUCUCAGAUGCUGAGGCUGAAAAUCUCUUGCUUCUGUGUUAAGAA
Molecule: long non-coding RNA, 241 nt
Filed under: Homo sapiens (human)
Lineage: Eukaryota; Metazoa; Chordata; Mammalia; Primates; Hominidae
Description: HSALNT0159545
Source: RNAcentral